RNAcentral lists this ribosomal RNA (390 nucleotides) under uncultured bacterium. Its description in RNAcentral is "bacterial SSU rRNA". It matches the Rfam family "Bacterial small subunit ribosomal RNA", at positions 29 to 408 of the family's 1533-position model. The record is from RNAcentral.
AAUGAACGCUGGCGGCGCGCCUAAUACAUGCAAGUCGAGCGAGAAGACGUAGCAAUACGUUUGUAAAGCGGCGAACGGGUGAGGAAUACAUGGGUAACCUACCCUCGAGUGGGGAAUAACUAGCCGAAAGGUUAGCUAAUACCGCGUACGCUCCUUGGACUUCGGUUCAGGGAGGAAAGCGAUACCGUGGGUAUCGCGCUCUUGGUUGGGCUCAUGUCCUAUCAGCUUGUUGGUGAGGUAACGGCUCACCAAGGCUUCGACGGGUAGCUGGUCUGAGAGGACGAUCAGCCACACUGGCACUGCGACACGGGCCAGACUCCUACGGGAGGCAGCAGUAAGGAAUAUUGCGCAAUGGGCGAAAGCCUGACGCAGCGACGCCGCGGUGGGGGA